AGGGAAACAUAAUCAUAACAGGGAUGGACUGUGGUUGGGCAGUGGGGAGGAAAUAGCACACAUCAAGUCAGACGUCAGCCUUGGAAUGAGCUUUAUUCUGUAUUUUACCUUCACCAGGGAGAAGAAAGCAAUGAAGCUGGAGGGCAGAGCAGCCUGCACCACACAGACACAAAUCACAUCUCUAAAGAAUGUAUGUGAAAUUUUAGGGCCCAGAGCAGACCAGCCAUCAAGCACAAAGAUCAAUCAGGACCCCAGACAUCCCAUCUCAUCUGUCCUUAUUGGAUGUUUUGAUUCAAUCAUUUAUAUACUUCUGUUUCAUUUUUAAAAGCACAAGUAACAUUCCAAUGUCCAGUCAUUUGCUGUUCUUCUUUAGGAUGCACAGACGAAGUGACCCGAUUUUUUAUUUCUGUAACACCACCAGCCUCUUCUUGGUAUCCGUGGUGGUGGUGGUGGUCAGUGCAAAGUCCAUCAAAAGUCAGCUUGUUUUGAGGCUUGAGUGAAAGGCUGAAGCUCUGAAUGAUGAAUGGAAGCAUCCUUGGCUGUUACACACUCAGGGCUGGAAGAGUUCGUGCCCCACAGGAGCUGAACAACUGCACUAUUCCUACAGUUGAAACCUCCUACUAGACUGCUGAGAACAAUACUUAUUCACAGAGAUUGAUGAAAUACAGAGAGAAAUGUCUUCAGAGACAACAGACCCAGUCCUGGAAUACUGAAGAAGCCAGGAGGCAAGAACAGGUGCACACAAAGGAGGCAGCACUGGACCAGCAGCAGCAACAAGAGCCGGCUCUGAUCAGAGGACAGAAGAGGAAGGAAGCACCCACCAGGCCCUAGAGAUGAUCCUGAAAGUACUGUGGUCUAAUCCCUAUUGUUACAGGAUCCAGGCUCCCAGUGGUAGAAGUUGUCAUGGAGAGAACAAUGGCAUUGCGGUUAGAGGAUGCUGUGGUGGAAGAAUGGCCCACUAUAGGUGAUGGUAGCCAGAGAAGCACACGCCUGUCCAGGCUCUGAGGAGUGCCCUGAGGACGUGUCACAUCUGGCCAACUUCCGCUGUCUGGGGUAGAAUGGGAAAAGCUGGUGGACAAACUGUGGAGGUUUCAUGAUUCACCUUGAGUUUGGAGAAGUAGCCUCUUCUGGGGCCAUAUGUGGUUCCAUGUUAUUGAGUGAAAAUAGAAUCUACUGUGAGAGGAAAGAGAAUCCAUCUGCUUCAUGACCAGGUUGAGGAGGGUGGCUUCAGAGAAAUCACUUCUGCUUUGGCAGGUAUUCUUGGCAUGGGGGAGGUUGCACAGGGGGGCACUUCUGCUGGCUGGGGGGUGGUAG
Long non-coding RNA from Ailuropoda melanoleuca (giant panda), 1314 nucleotides. RefSeq lists it as uncharacterized. The record is from RefSeq and is a predicted model, not a curated record. Lineage: Eukaryota; Metazoa; Chordata; Mammalia; Carnivora; Ursidae. The transcript has 3 exons.